GCGCUUUAGCGCGCCCGUCGCAGCCGCCUGCGCUUCAGCGCGCCCGUCGCAGCCGCCUGCGCUUCAGCGCGCCCGUCGCAGCCGCCUGCGCUUCAGCGCGCCCGUCGCAGCAUGUGAUAGCUGGUCCAUAAAAAAGGCCAAGCCCUGAAGAAUUGAUACUUCAAAUUGUGGUGCUGGAGAAAACUCUUGAGCGACCCUUGGACUGUAAGGAGAUCAAAGCAGUCAGUCCCAAAAUAAAUCAACCUGAAUAUUCAGUGUAAGGACUGUUGCUGAAGCUGAAGUUCUAAUACUUUAGCCACCUGAUGUGAAGAGCAGACUUGUAAAAGGUCUUGAUGCUGGUGAAUAUUGAAGGCAAAAGGACAAGGAGGGUGGCAGAGGAUGAGAUGCUUUUCAUACUGUUCAUGGGGUUCUCAAGGCAAGAAUACUGUGGUGUUGGAGAAGACUCUUGAGAGUCCCUUGGACUGCAGGGAGAUCAAACCAGUCCAUCCUAAAGGAAAUCAGUCCUGAAUAUUCAUUGGAAAGACUGAUGUUGAAGCUGAAACUCCAAUACUUUGGCCACCUGAUGCGAAGAGCUGACUCAUUUGAAAAGACCCUGAUGCUGGGAAAGAUUGAAGGCGGGAGGAGAAGGAGACACCAGAGGAUGAGAUGGUUGGAUGGCAUCACUGACUCAAUGGACAUGAGUUUGAGUAAACUCUGGGAGUUGGUGAUGGACAGGGAGGCCUGGUGUGCUGCAGUCCAUGGGGUCGCAGAGUUGGACAUGACUGAGUGACUGAACUGAACUGAACUUGUUCAACUCUAAUGUGCUCUUCAUCAACUUUUUCAUUGAGUAACAUAUGGCAUGCUUUCUAAACUCAUAUAUUUGUAAGGUUAUCUGUCUAUUAAUUUCUCAUGCGAUCGUAAACUUAGAUACACAGAAUUUUAAGGCACACCAUGUUCUUCACCAAGAAUUGUGUAGAUACUGCCAAAUCACUGGAAAUUUGGUUAGAGUAGACAUUUGAAGCCAAUUUGAUUUGUGACUUCUAUUAAGACAGAUUUUUACUCUUUCUUGUGUCUAUACACUGAAUCAAAAAUUUAACCAUGGUAAACCUAACACUUCUCCAGGAUUGUAAAAAGUUAGAUUAUUUCAAGAGUACUGUGUGCUAUAGUGUUUAUUUUUGUCAUUAAUCUAUGGCACUGAAAUAGAGUUGCCCUCUUAUUAGCCUCCUGCCUCAUUAGGCUUUUUCUCCUGAGCCACACUGAUGGUAUCAUUUCAUGCUGUAUCUCAAGUAUGUUGCACAGCACUGGAUAUGAC
This is a long non-coding RNA of Bos taurus (domestic cattle), 1291 nucleotides long. The record is from Ensembl. Lineage: Eukaryota; Metazoa; Chordata; Mammalia; Artiodactyla; Bovidae.